RNAcentral lists this ribosomal RNA (450 nucleotides) under uncultured Glomeromycotina. RNAcentral describes it as "SSU rRNA". It matches the Rfam family "Eukaryotic small subunit ribosomal RNA", at positions 569 to 1023 of the family's 1831-position model. Lineage: Eukaryota; Fungi; Glomeromycota. The record is from RNAcentral.
AGCAGCCGCGGUAAUUCCAGCUCCAAUAGCGUAUAUUAAAGUUGUUGCAGUUAAAAAGCUCGUAGUUGAAUUUCGGGAUCAAUAUGUCGGUCGUGCCUCCGGUACGUACUGGCAUCAUUGAUUUCUCCCUUCUGACGAACCAUGAUGUCAUUAAUUUGGUGUCAUGGGGAGUCAGGACUGUUACUUUGAAAAGAUUAGAGUGUUUAAAGCAGGCUCACGCUUGAAUACAUUAGCAUGGAAUAAUGAAAUAGGACGUUUGACCCUAUUUUGUUGGUUUCUAGGAUCGACGUAAUGAUUAAUAGGGAUAGUUGGGGGCAUUAGUAUUCAAUUGUCAGAGGUGAAAUUCUUGGAUUUAUUGAAGACUAACUACUGCGAAAGCAUUUGCCAAGGAUGUUUUCAUUAAUCAAGAACGAAAGUUGGGGGAUCGAAGACGAUCAGAUACCGUCGUAG